AGAGUUUGAUCCUGGCUCAGAAUGAACGUUGGCGGCGUGGAUUAGGCAUGCGAGUCGUACGAGAACCCGCAAGGGGGAAAGUGGCGAACGGGGUAGUAAUGCGUAGGUGACGUGCCCUGGGGUCGGGGAUAGCUUAGGGAAACUUAAGGUAAUACCCGAUAAUCCCGGUAGGUUUGAAGACCAUCCGGGCAAAGGUGUGAUUCCACCUCAGGAGCGGCUUGCGUGGUAUUAGCUAGUUGGUGAGGUAACGGCUCACCAAGGCUACGAUGCCUAGGGGAUGUUAGCGCAUGAUCCCCACCACUGGGACUGAGAUACUGCCCAGACACCUACGGGUGGCUGCAGUCGAGAAUCUUCGGCAAUGGGGGAAACCCUGACCGAGCGACGCCGCGUGUGGGAUGAAGGCCCUUGGGUUGUAAACCACUGUCAGAGGGGAUGAAGUGCCAGAGAGCUAUCUCUCUGGUUUGACAUAGCCUCAGAGGAAGCACGGGCUAAGUUCGUGCCAGCAGCCGCGGUAAGACGAACUGUGCAAACGUUAUUCGGAAUCACUGGGCUUGAAGAGUGCGUAGGCGGUUUCGUAAGUAGGGUGUGAAAGCCCCCGGCUUAACCGGGGAAUUGCGUCCUAAACUGCGAGGCUGGAGUGAGGUAGGGGUGUGUGGAACUUCCAGUGGAGCGGUGAAAUGUGUUGAUAUUGGAAGGAACGCCGGUGGCGAAAGCGACACACUGGACCUUGUCUGACGCUGAGGCACGAAAGCCAGGGGAGCAAACGGGAUUAGAUACCCCAGUAGUCC
RNAcentral lists this ribosomal RNA (788 nucleotides) under uncultured bacterium. RNAcentral describes it as "bacterial SSU rRNA". It matches the Rfam family "Bacterial small subunit ribosomal RNA", at positions 8 to 796 of the family's 1533-position model. The record is from RNAcentral.